Molecule: ribosomal RNA, 501 nt
Filed under: uncultured bacterium
Lineage: Bacteria
Description: partial 16S ribosomal RNA
Rfam family: Bacterial small subunit ribosomal RNA
Source: RNAcentral
GCGAACGCUGGCGGCGUGCCUAACCCAUGCCAGUCGCACGUGAAAGGGAGCAAUCCCAAGUAAAGUGGCGUACGGGUGAGUAACACGUAGGUAAUCUACCCCAGAAUCUGGAAUAACCGGCCGAAAGGCUGGCUAAUACUGGAUAGAGCGUCGGAAUCCGUAAUUGGGUUUUUCGGGAAAGGGAGCCUGUAAAAAGGCCUUCGUUCUGGGAUGAGCCUGCGUCCCAUCAGCUAGUUGGUGAGGUAAAAGCUUACCAAGGCAAUGACGGGUAGCUGGUCUGAGAGGACGAUCAGCCACACUGGAACUGAAACACGGUCCAGACUCCUACGGGAGGCAGCAGUGGGGAAUCUUGCGCAAUGGACGAAAGUCUGACGCAGCAACGCCGCGUGAGUGAAGAAGGCCUUCGGGUUGUAAAGCUCUGUCGAGUGGGACGAAAAUGCUUGGAGUUCACAGCUCCAGGAACUGACGGUACCACUAAAGGAAGCACCGGCUAACUCCGUG